GCUUGCUCUUAUGAAGUUAGCGGCGGACGGGUGAGUAACACGUGGGUAACCUGCCCAUAAGACUGGGAUAACUCCGGGAAACCGGGGCUAAUACCGGAUAACAUUUUGCACCGCAUGGUGCGAAAUUCAAAGGCGGCUUCGGCUGUCACUUAUGGAUGGACCCGCGUCGCAUUAGCUAGUUGGUGAGGUAACGGCUCACCAAGGCAACGAUGCGUAGCCGACCUGAGAGGGUGAUCGGCCACACUGGGACUGAGACACGGCCCAGACUCCUACGGGAGGCAGCAGUAGGGAAUCUUCCGCAAUGGACGAAAGUCUGACGGAGCAACGCCGCGUGAGUGAUGAAGGCUUUCGGGUCGUAAAACUCUGUUGUUAGGGAAGAACAAGUGCUAGUUGAAUAAGCUGGCACCUUGACGGUACCUAACCAGAAAGCCACGGCUAACUACGUGCCAGCAGCCGCGGUAAUACGUAGGUGGCAAGCGUUAUCCGGAAUUAUUGGGCGUAAAGCGCGCGCAGGUGGUUUCUUAAGUCUGAUGUGAAAGCCCACGGCUCAACCGUGGAGGGUCAUUGGAAACUGGGAGACUUGAGUGCAGAAGAGGAAAGUGGAAUUCCAUGUGUAGCGGUGAAAUGCGUAGAGAUAUGGAGGAACACCAGUGGCG
This 656-nucleotide ribosomal RNA is filed under the name Bacillus cereus. Its description in RNAcentral is "bacterial SSU rRNA". It matches the Rfam family "Bacterial small subunit ribosomal RNA", at positions 78 to 717 of the family's 1533-position model. Lineage: Bacteria; Bacillati; Bacillota; Bacilli; Caryophanales; Bacillaceae. The record is from RNAcentral.